Molecule: ribosomal RNA, 261 nt
Filed under: uncultured archaeon
Lineage: Archaea
Description: partial 16S ribosomal RNA
Rfam family: Archaeal small subunit ribosomal RNA
Source: RNAcentral
UAGCCGUAAACGAUACUCGCUAGGUGUCGGCCACGGUGCGACCGUUGUCGGUGCCGUAGGGAAGCCGUGAAGCGAGCCACCUGGGAAGUACGGCCGCAAGGCUGAAACUUAAAGGAAUUGGCGGGGGAGCACAACAACGGGUGGAGCUUGCGGUUUAAUUGGAUUCAACGCCGGAAAUCUUACCGGGACCGACAGCAACAUGAAGGCCAGGCUGAAGACUUUGCCGGAUUAGCUGAGAGGAGGUGCAUGGCGUAGUCGUGU